This is a long non-coding RNA of Leptidea sinapis, 1120 nucleotides long. RefSeq lists it as uncharacterized. The record is from RefSeq and is a predicted model, not a curated record. Lineage: Eukaryota; Metazoa; Arthropoda; Insecta; Lepidoptera; Pieridae. The transcript has 4 exons.
CUUUAGGGGACUGAGCCAGGGUGCCCCUGAAAGUAUAAGGGUAGUAUUCUGUACUACCCAUAUACCUACUACAUGGCCUGCAAUCGGGAGAGUCCAUGGUCCCAGCUGCAGGCCUGUUCCUUCCAAUGCCCCGCGGUCGCCGCCGUAGCAUUUCCACGUCGCCGCCCGCGGUUCUGGCCAACCCGCCCUCUGUCAGAUAGACAGCGGGACUUAGAUUAUAAAUAAUGAUUAAGAUUCCAUAUUAUGAAGUCGACUUCAUAUUACACGUUUCCGUCAUAUUUUCUUGUGUUAUUUAAGUACUCGAUGUGAGGUCAGCGGCCGCCUCCACAACUUGUAUUACUUCAUUCAUACUUAGGUUUAGGAAGUUUAUGUUAUCACUGUAUCAACAGUUAUGUACUUACUUUGUUACAACAUGCUUGACAUCCAGCAGGGCAGACUCUUGGCUCGGCUUAAAUUAUUAACGGUCUUACAAAUAAAUAUUGGUUUAAAGUUCUGAGAAUAAAUCAAGAAUAUGUAAAAUGUUGACUAGCGGCCGUUUUCAAUAACUUAUAACUCCUUAGUUUAACUUACUAAAGGUAGACAAAUCUAUCCUUCUACGCUUACUUGCACUUCAAUAACCUAUUGACAAUAAGCAUUGGACUAUAUUUAUAUUGGACAUAACUAUGGAUAGAUAACAUCUUAUCAUUAAACGGUGACAGCAAUGUAUUCGUAACUAGAGAUACAUUAUUGAAAACGGCCGUAUAUCGCUGACAACCCUGUCAAUACAAUGAUAAUUCUGAAGCUUUCUAAAUGCCAAGCAACAUUGCAAAUAAACGCGGGAAACGUUUUCGUCCGAAUAAACCAAUCAUAGUCAAAAUGUCUAUUCGUAAACAUGUUGCAUAUACUUGGUUUAUUCUCAGGUAUAUCUUUAUACCAAUUUUAUUUGUAAUGUUUAACUUAAAUGUAAUUUCUAAAUAUAUAUUUAUUUUAUAAGGAACAUAAUUUAAGACAUGGUCGCGGUGCUAAUUCAACGGGAGCUGGAUUGGAAGCUAAUGCGGUUUUUCAUCUCUUGUAUUUUUAAAAUAUUUACUUUUAAGAUUUUUUUGGAGUGUUGUUUUAUUAACUAACAUAUUUGUUUAAA